CCAGAGUUUGAUCCUGGCUCAGGAUGAACGCUAGCGGCAGGCUUAACACAUGCAAGUCGAGGGGUAACAUUGGUGCUUGCACCAGAUGACGACCGGCGCACGGGUGAGUAACGCGUAUACAAUCUACCUUUUUUUUGGGGUAUAGCCCGGAGAAAUUUGGAUUAACCCCCCAUGGUAUGUAAAAGUGGCAUCACUUUUACAUUAAAAUUACGGUGGUAAUAGAUGAGUAUGCGUCCCAUUAGUUAGUUGGUAAGGUAACGGCUUACCAAGGCAGCGAUGGGUACGGGUCCUGAGAGGGAGAUCCCCCACACUGGUACUGAGACACGGACCAGACUCCUACGGGAGGCAGCAGUGAGGAAUAUUGGACAAUGGAGGCAACUCUGAUCCAGCCAUGCCGCGUGCAGGAAGACUGCCCUAUGGGUUGUAAACUGCUUUUACAGAGUAAGAACCCGCUCCCACGUUGUGGGUGUUUGACGGUACUCUGCGAAUAAGGGAUCGGCUAACCCCGUGCCAUCAGCCCGGUAAUACCGAGGAUCCAAGCGUUAUCCGUAUCAUUGGGAUAAAGGGUCCGUAGGCGGGACAAUACGUAUGUGGCAAGUCUGCACUUAACUGUGAAUUACAUUGAACCUGGACUCUUACCUUC
This 643-nucleotide ribosomal RNA is filed under the name uncultured Antarctic soil bacterium. RNAcentral's name for it is "bacterial SSU rRNA". It matches the Rfam family "Bacterial small subunit ribosomal RNA", at positions 1 to 656 of the family's 1533-position model. The record is from RNAcentral.